GAUAAGUAUUAAUAGUAAGGAAAAUCUUAAUUUAUUUUUUUUUUCAAACAGGUGCAGCAGAGAAACUAGAGGAAGUUCACUACCUCCGUUUGAUCACAUUGUGUGUGAGAACACAGUGUCAGCCAAAGUAUCUGCACUGAACCAUCCCGCAUUUUCAAUUACUUCAGCUUGGUUGUAGGCGGGAGAUGAGACUUCAGGAUCUGACAACACUCAGAGCCAAGGUUCAUAGACGCCAAAUCCUCUCAAUUGUUGGCAAGAAACAGAGGGCUGAGACUCCUGCCUCGAUGUCAUUGGAGGAAGACGCAUGCUGUUUUGCCCUUGACUUGAAAAUUCUGCAAACUUCAGAAUUGCCAGAUGUCAAUGGAUCAUUGUCUAGCAUUUUAGGAGGGAUAUGAGGAAGCCUAGAGCAACUCCAGGCUAUGACAGAUGCAGUGAAUGAAAUUGCUAUUCUCCACGAUGUGACCUAAUGAUCCUGGGAGGCUAAGAGAAAGUCAUACCAUACAUAUAAAAGCAGCUUUUGCCAGGACACAGGUGAGUGACUCUGCAUCUUCCAUUGACGAUUUUCAUCUUCAGAAAUGCUCAGAUUUCUGGGUACUAUC
RNAcentral lists this long non-coding RNA (599 nucleotides) under Calidris pygmaea (Spoon-billed sandpiper). Its description in RNAcentral is "lncRNA (ENSCPGG00000000205.1)". The record is from RNAcentral. Lineage: Eukaryota; Metazoa; Chordata; Aves; Charadriiformes; Scolopacidae.